AGGAGAGGAGGACUGACCAGAGGU
This 24-nucleotide non-coding RNA is filed under the name Cricetulus griseus (Chinese hamster). Lineage: Eukaryota; Metazoa; Chordata; Mammalia; Rodentia; Cricetidae. The record is from RNAcentral.